CCUUCGGGGUACUCGAGUGGCGAACGGGUGAGUACACGUGGGUGAUCUGCCCUGCACUUUGGGAUAAGCCUGGGAAACUGGGUCUAAUACCGAAUACACCUCAUGGGAUGCAUGUUUUGUGGGGGAAAGCUUUUGCGGUGUGGGAUGGGCCCGCGGCCUAUCAGCUUGUUGGUGAGGUUACGGCUCACCAAGGCGACGACGGGUAGCCGGCCUGAGAGGGUGUCCGGCCACACUGGGACUGAGAUACGGCCCAGACUCCUACGGGAGGCAGCAGUGGGGAAUAUUGCACAAUGGGCGCAAGCCUGAUGCAGCGACGCCGCGUGAGGGAUGACGGCCUUCGGGUUGUAAACCUCUUUCGCCAGGGACGAAGCGCGAGUGACGGUACCUGGAGAAGAAGCACCGGCCAACUACGUGCCA
This 417-nucleotide ribosomal RNA is filed under the name Mycobacterium sp. Ri505b. RNAcentral's name for it is "bacterial SSU rRNA". It matches the Rfam family "Bacterial small subunit ribosomal RNA", at positions 77 to 510 of the family's 1533-position model. Lineage: Bacteria; Bacillati; Actinomycetota; Actinomycetes; Mycobacteriales; Mycobacteriaceae. The record is from RNAcentral.